RNAcentral lists this long non-coding RNA (230 nucleotides) under Brachypodium distachyon (stiff brome). Its description in RNAcentral is "long non-coding RNA (BDIS_LNC001601)". The record is from RNAcentral. Lineage: Eukaryota; Viridiplantae; Streptophyta; Magnoliopsida; Poales; Poaceae.
AAAAACCGAGAAACCGAAACCGAUCACCGAAGAACCGGAAACCGAAGCCGAUUGGACCGAAACCGAAGAACCGUUUAAAACUUCGGUCAGCAAACUCAAAGAACCGAAGUUUGUUCGGUUAAUUCGGUCUCUUGCCUCGGUUAACCGAAAAAACCCGAAAACUGAAGUUCAUUGCUGCAUCUUUAAAAUUUAAUGUUUUCAUUGCAUGUUAGAUGAUAUUUACUCAUUAC